AUGGUUUGAGUGUCAGCUUCUCCAGCCCUGACAUGGGGAUGGCCACACUGGACUACAGUCCUUUUUGGCCUCCCCUUUCUGUUUCUCAGUGGUUUGAGCUGUCCUGUUACCUUUUGUUCUCUUCUGCCUGUGAGGUAAUGUGCUGAUGUCACAGCAAGGUUUAUAGCCACAUGUCACAAAAUGGCAUGGAUACCCAGGCAUAAUACAGAUGAACCAAAACAGAAGAGAAUCUUUCACCAUCCUCGAGUCCUCACGUAACCCACUCUUCCCUCUGAAUAUGGUCUUCUGCUGCUGUCCUUACUGGGAUUAGACAUAGAAAAGAUGCUGUGUGCCCAUCUCUCUCCUACAAUCUGGCUGGGGUGAGCAUCUGGGGGUGAGCAGCUGGAGGUGAGCAGCUGGAAGUGAGCAGCUGGAGGUGAGCAUCUGGAGGUGAGCAUCUGGAGGUAAACCACUUACUUGCCUGAUUUCUCCAAGGAUCCUGAAAGAGACCAGAAUGUGAAACUGGAGUUACAGAUGGUUGUGAGCCACCAUUGUAUGUCCUGGAUUCUCUGAAGAAGUUGCCAGCCACACAGAAGCAGCAUGGAGAGAGGACUGUGACCUGGAGUCAGUUCUGGUUCAGAGCAUGCCUAUGAGAAGUAAGCCAGCUCUGGAGUGCCAAGCGUGUAGGCCAGGUCGAGAGUCCGUGAGCUUCUCCAGCACAACAUGGAAGUAACUGUCCACAGGUGACCUCGGAGCAGCCUGCUCUGCAUCGGAAGCAUGCCUCUUGAGCCUGAGGAGUCUCAUCCAUCUCAUCCAAGGGCAGAGGUUAUCUUACGAGCCGUAGACACUCCCAGCAUAUGGCACUCAGGAGCUGACUGGGCAUUAGCUGUCAGGAGUAAUGCCUGGACAGGGGUACCUGCAGUGACCACAGGUCGUGCCUGUUCUCAUGGGGUAAAGGACAAGUGGGAACACGUAUUAUUAGAACCUGCACGACUGUGCCAGCGUUUGGGUCCCUUGCCCUCACAGAAGUAAACAAUUAAAAGUACAA
Molecule: long non-coding RNA, 1027 nt
Organism: Mastomys coucha (southern multimammate mouse)
Lineage: Eukaryota; Metazoa; Chordata; Mammalia; Rodentia; Muridae
Exons: 5
Source: RefSeq, a predicted model, not a curated record